GCCUUCGUAGUGUAGUGGUCAGCACGCUCGACGCGUAACCGAGAGGUCCGUGGUUCGAAUCCCGGCGAAGGCG
Molecule: transfer RNA, 73 nt
Filed under: Stegodyphus mimosarum
Lineage: Eukaryota; Metazoa; Arthropoda; Arachnida; Araneae; Eresidae
Rfam family: tRNA
About the family: Transfer RNA (tRNA) molecules are approximately 80 nucleotides in length. Their secondary structure includes four short double-helical elements and three loops (D, anti-codon, and T loops).
Source: Rfam by way of RNAcentral